UAAUGGUGUACCUUGCCUUGGUGAGACCUAAAACAGUUGGAAUGCUUACGUUAUUGAUUCUAUUUUGAUAUCCUUAAUGCAUUAUAUGCAUAUGAACUCGCAUAUUUGAUAUUGUAUUUUAAAUGACUAUCUGUGCUACAUUUGAAGGACAUCUUUAGGACCACAGUGACGGUUCAAAUACCCAUAGAUUCAGAUGAAACAGGACAUCUUUACGACUGCAGUGACGCUUCAGAUAUCCAAAGAUUCAGAUAAAACAGGCGAGGUUAUACAGUUUCUUUAUUACUUUAUUUUUUAAAAAAAAGAAUGUCACCUACAUCAGCUUGGUUAGUAUUCCCUCAAAUUGUUGUUGAUCCAAUUUAUGACCAUUAAGAAAAAACACGAGCAUAGUCAUUACAAUAUUUUCACUCUUCAAAGCCAUUGUUUUUUAAGGGCAUAUGUAGUCAUAGUGCUCUCCUUCUGUUUCCUGUCACUUGAUGACCUGUUUAACAAAGCUCAAACCAUAAUGAAAAGGAUACUCUGCAUUCUCCUCAUCUCUAAGUCGGUGAUCCAUAUUUUUAUAAACAUUGUCUUGGAAAGCUGGAAGGUGCUAUACAUUAUCCAUGUGUUAGGUGGGCAUGUCAUCUUACACCAAUGAGAAGGUAAACAAUCCGAUCAUAUUUAACUGUUUCUUUCUACGCAUUGUACAUUUACAUAUCUUCCCUACUUACAUGGUGAAGCUAUCUAUAACUUUAUUUCGACCAUAUUUAACUGUUUCUUUCUACGCAUUGUACAUUUACAUUUCUUCCCUACUUACAUGGUGAAGCUAUCUAUAACUUUAUUUCGACAACGUAAGCUUCUCAUAACUCAUCUCACCUGCUAAACUAUUGAUAACUUUAUUUAGGCAAAUUAGCAGCUUCUACGUAAUUGAACUGUGUGAUGAACCUGUCUACAAUCAGACUGUAGUGUGUGCAUCAUAUACCAUGAAGCGUUAUAGGACCCUUAUUUACUUAAGCAUUCUGGGAACAACAGAACAAUCUCUGAGCUAUACCUGCUUGUUGAUUCUAUUAACCCCUAACAUUUUGUAUCUGUUGAAUACAACUAAUAAUUGUAUUUCUUUUUUUCUCUGCUAUAGGAACCUCUUCGUGUUGCACUAUAUUCUAAUCUUCGGAAUCUCAUUCAGAACCUUAUGAGCGGCAGUGAAACUAUCGAGCAACUUAUUCACACGCUAAUCAAUGAUAACUUGGAUCUUGGUUGUGCCAUCAUUGAGGUUGUGGCAACACGUCAGGUAGCUUCUUGACAAUUCUAAUUCUGUUGAACUAAGUACACCUUUGACUUCUCCUUAAGCAGAUUUAAAAGCUUAAGGUUUACAAUCCCGGAUUGUUUUUACAAUUCUAAUGGAGUUGUCAGUUUUCUGGACAUCUGACAAUGAUUACUCAAAGAUAAACUAUAUCGUGUUAAAGGCUAGUUGGGUACUACCACUGUCCUGAAAUGUAAUCGAUUUGAGUUUGUCCUAAGUAACUACAUUAAGUUUGACCAAGUUCAUAGAAAAGAGUAUUAAGUAUUAGUGGCAUUGAGGAGAUCAACUAUAAAAAUAUAUUUCAUAAAUGUAUGAGUUGAAAAUGAUGUUCAUCUAUUAUUGUAAAUAUUAUUCUUCUCUAUAAAUUUGCCAAAUUUAGGAUAGUUUGACGUAGAGCAACUCAAAAACAUUAUAUUUCAGGAUGGAUCUAUUUAUUAUUAACAUCUUCUGUCUGAUCACCAUUGGAAGUAGAUCUGGCUUGGGGUAUAGUAGAUUGAAUAUAGAGGUACAUGGGGUGUACAAUAUAUAGGCAAGGAUCAUCAAGUUUGACGUCGGCAACGUGGUCAUGGUGACUGGCGGGAGGAACACCGGGCGUGUAGGAGUCAUCAAGAACAGGGAGAAGCACAAGGACAGCUUUGAGACCAUCCACGUGCUGCUUGGAGCUUUUUGCUAUGUCUAGUUUUCUCCUAUUUGUUGUACAGGAAAACAUAGAAUAGAAUUCAAAUUUGGUGGUCG
This is a long non-coding RNA of Zea mays, 2011 nucleotides long. RefSeq lists it as uncharacterized. The record is from RefSeq and is a predicted model, not a curated record. Lineage: Eukaryota; Viridiplantae; Streptophyta; Magnoliopsida; Poales; Poaceae. The transcript has 2 exons.